CUGGUUUUGAAAAUGGAGAGAAAGAGUGAUGAACUGAGAAACAUGGAUGGCCUUGGGAACGUGGAAAAGGGUCACUGAAAUGGGAUGACAUGAACUCAAGGAGGCUAUUUAUGACCAUGUCAUUUGCAACAUGAAGAAAGCUUAUCUGGAGUGAAAGUAAAUGAGACCAACAGAGAUAAGAGACCCAGAGAAAUCUUGGUUACACUGCUUGAAUCCUACACAUACUAACAUAAGGCCACAUGAGGACACAGUGAGAAGUUGGAAGUCUACAACCCAGAAGAGAGCCCUCAACAGAACCUAACCAUGCUGGUACCCUGAUCUCAGACAUCCAGCCUCCAGAAGAGUGAAAAAAUAUAAUUCUUAUUUCUAAGCA
This 373-nucleotide long non-coding RNA is filed under the name Pan troglodytes (chimpanzee). RNAcentral describes it as "lincRNA". Lineage: Eukaryota; Metazoa; Chordata; Mammalia; Primates; Hominidae. The record is from RNAcentral.